CAACCAAUCCCACAUUCGGCAUUCCGCCUCCGCUUUUCGUCACCCUACUUAAAUUUCUGAUUUUUUUUUCUUCCGUCGCACAUGUGAGGACUAAAGCUGCGAGAGCUUCACAUCCUUCUCUCAUAUCAUAACAUCACACUGAUGUGCUCUGCUCAUGUCAGGCAGUCUGGUAUGCCAUACAGCAUCAUGAAUGAAUCUGAAAUGAUGGAAUCCAUAAAAAGGACAAGCAGUAUGGACAGGCCUGUGAACCUCCAAAAACCACAUCUUCACCAAGUAGGCCGGCAAAGACCUAAUCUCACCCCACCGUUACAGAAGUCCAUGACAUCGGCUGCAUAGUUGAGUGGACACAAGUCUAUCUUAGGAGGUGGCCAUGUGACAGAGGAGCUUAAUGGACCUUUAUUGACCGAAGACUUGGAGACACCCAACAAAGAAAAGGAUUUGGAAAACAUUGUCAGAGAUAUUACAACUCACAUAGAAAGAAAGAUAUCAGAAAAAUCAUGUUUGUCAGACUGACCAACUGCAAAAAGGGCGGAGUGGUGGCUCUGAGGCUAAGGAGCUGCGUUGGUAUCCCAAAGGUUGCCGGUUCGAAUCCCCGUCACUGCCAAAAGAGAGAGCAAGGCCCUUGACCAGCAGUUUUUCCAGGGGUGCUGUACAAUGGCUGACCCUGUGCUCUGACCCCAAGGGGUAUGUGAAAACUAACAAAUUCCUAAUACAAGAAAUUAUGUAAGGCGAAAUAAAGCAUCCCAAAGCCUAGGAGGAAAAUGAUGGUGCAACAUGCUACACUUUAAAAGAACAACUUAAUGGAUUAAGAAGAUAAAGACUGGGACUGCUAAAAUAUCAAGCAAACUCUCUAACACAAAGCUUGCUGUUUGGGAUUUUGUAAGUCACAAUCUAUAAAUGGACUUUGAAGAGAAUCCUUCAGGUUGCAUGUGCUCUUCUAUUUUCCCCUCAUUUUUGAUAUAUCUAUGUUUGUCUGUGAAGAAAGAUAAGAUUAUAUUGAAAUAAAGUUUGUUGUUAUCUCACUGAAACUGCCUUGUUGUUUACUGACACUAGCAAUCACCAGAUUGUCAAAGGUUCUAUAGGAUAAGGGACUGAAAUACUCAUCCAGGAUCUCUAGUAUUGUAAUCCAUGUUAUAAGUGUUAAAAGGUUCAGUAAUAUAACAAGAUGCACUUUUUUCAUGUUAAAUCCAUUGAGACUCAGCAAACUGGUAGCAGGUGGCUCCUGGGUUUUGUUAGGGUAUUUAGCCUUUUUGAGAGUAGCCAGUUACUAUUAGAUAAUCUGUUUUAAAAACCUUUUAGGAUAGCCAGUUCCCGGUAGGAGAGAUUUAGGCCUUGCAGGAAACUGAAAGCAAGAGUUGAUCUCAGCAAUUAAUGUAUUCAGAGGUUCAGCAAUUGUAGGAGUGGAAAACUGGGAAAAAAACAUUUAUCCCAGUAGCAUGAAGCCUGCCUGUGUUAAGGAUUGCUGAGGUAAGUUAGAUAGAUGAUUAUUUUAGGACAUGGGGCUUUGUCUGUUCAGGCUCCAGUUAAUUGUUCCUUACAGGGGGUUAUUCAGCAAAUGUCGAAAGACAGAGUUGCAAUUCCGGCUUGACAAGUGAGAAACCAUACUGUCGAGCAAGAGAACAGUUGGGCUGGUGAGUGACAUAUUUAGCAAACAAAGCAGACAUAUCGUAGAAGUUCACUAAUUUUCCUAACGUCUCUUCCGCAUACUCAGGAACUCAUUUAAGUCAAGUUUGUUUCAUGUGUGUACCCUGCACAAUCAGUGUAGAUAAGUUUCAUUAAAAUACAUACCCCAAUUGUUUGGAAUAAUUUUGACUGUAAUUUUAAACAACUGUAUUGGUUGCACGACAUGGUUAUUUGUAUUGUAAUCUAACUAAAUUUCACUAUUGCACUAAAUAUCUGCUGAAGUAGCUGUUCUGUUUUAUCCUACUGUAAUCCUUCUUAUGUGCAGCGUUUCUUUAUUUACUACACUGAGUAGGCCACAAGGCCAUACAGGACGACAGUCAAUCUCAGGGGUGAGCACACCACACACACACAUGUCAGGGGACAAUUUAGCAUCACCAGUCCACUGAACAUGCAUGUCCUUGGAGUGUAGGAAAAAACCUCAGCACCCGGAGGAAACAUACAGACUCCACACAGGAAGGACACAGGUGUUGAUCCCCAGUAUCUUUUAACUGUGGGACUAUACUCCUUAUUAAAAAAAAAAAAAAAAAAAAGCUUAUUACAUGAACAAAGAAGCAGGAGAAAACUCGCACCCACCUUAGAAACACAGAAACGAAAGGCAAACACAGCAAAAGGGGGGUGGAGUUUAUCCUGUUAUUUAUUAACAUACAGCUUUCACUUUCUUUCUUCUCUGUACAGAUCCCUUCAUGGUGGCACGCACUCUGCCAGAACACCUUAUUGCUGUCCACUGCUGCUAUUCUGAAGUCCUGAACACCACACAACAUCAUGACUAAAUCAAAAGUGAUUGGGUCCAUCUACAGGACAACCAGCAUGGACAGAAUUCAUAGAUUACGGAAACCGUGCCUUCACCAAGUAACCUGGUUGAAAGAUCAGUUCACCACAAUGUUACAGAAGUCCACGAUAUCCAGUCCACUGCAAUGGACCAUUCAACUUUGCACUGUGGAAUAUUUAUCAUUUUAAUAAACAAAAAGUUAUGUGAUCAUAAUCCUUGACACUGUAAAAAUAAAAAUAAAAUAAAAAGUUAUAUUAAGUAACAAACAUAAUCCAUA
Molecule: long non-coding RNA, 2729 nt
Organism: Polypterus senegalus (gray bichir)
Lineage: Eukaryota; Metazoa; Chordata; Cladistia; Polypteriformes; Polypteridae
Exons: 6
Source: RefSeq, a predicted model, not a curated record